This 285-nucleotide ribosomal RNA is filed under the name Naegleria fowleri. Its description in RNAcentral is "partial 18S ribosomal RNA". It matches the Rfam family "Eukaryotic small subunit ribosomal RNA", at positions 922 to 1200 of the family's 1831-position model. Lineage: Eukaryota; Heterolobosea; Eutetramitea; Acrasida; Naegleriidae. The record is from RNAcentral.
GUGAAAUUCUGAGACCCUCAUGUGACCAACUAAGGCGAAAGCUGUCGUGGGCCACCACAAGCUCGUCUAUCAGGGACGAAAGUUGGGUUAUCGAAGACGAUUAGAUACCGUCGUAGUCCCAACUAUAAACGAUACCAACCGAGUAUUUGGGAAGACACUAUCCCAGCGAUCUUCUCAGAACUCAAGGGAAACCUUAAGUCUUUGGGUUCUGGGGGGGAGUAUAGUCGCAAGACCGAAACUUAAAGGAAUUGACGGAAAGGCUCCACCMGGAGKGGAGSCKGCGGG